ACGUAGGGUGCAAGCGUUAAUCGGAAUUACUGGGCGUAAAGCGCGCGUAGGCGGUAUUGUAAGUCAGGGGUGAAAUCCCACGGCUCAACCUUGGAACUGCCUUUGAUACUGCACAACUUGAAUACGGCAGAGGGUGGCGGAAUUCCAGGUGUAGCAGUGAAAUGCGUAGAUAUCAGGAGGAACACCAGUGGCGAAGGCAGCCCCCUGGACCGGUACUGACGCUGAGGCGCGAAAGCGUGGGGAGCAAACAG
This 251-nucleotide ribosomal RNA is filed under the name uncultured prokaryote. RNAcentral's name for it is "partial 16S rRNA". It matches the Rfam family "Bacterial small subunit ribosomal RNA", at positions 525 to 775 of the family's 1533-position model. The record is from RNAcentral.